RNAcentral lists this ribosomal RNA (206 nucleotides) under uncultured Actinomyces sp. RNAcentral's name for it is "partial 16S ribosomal RNA". It matches the Rfam family "Bacterial small subunit ribosomal RNA", at positions 266 to 521 of the family's 1533-position model. Lineage: Bacteria; Bacillati; Actinomycetota; Actinomycetes; Actinomycetales; Actinomycetaceae. The record is from RNAcentral.
UCUACAGCCUAUGACGGGUAGCUGGCCUGAGAGGUGAACAGCCAGAAGGGCACUUAGACACGGGCCCUACUCCUACGGGAGGCAGCAGUGAGGAAUAUUGCACAAUGGGCGAAAGCCUGAUGCAGCGACGCCGCGUGGAGGAUGACGGUCUUCGGAUUGUAAACUCCUGCAAAUAGCACCGGCUAACUACGUGCAGCAGCCGCGGA